Coturnix japonica (Japanese quail) is the source of this 3338-nucleotide long non-coding RNA. RefSeq lists it as uncharacterized. Lineage: Eukaryota; Metazoa; Chordata; Aves; Galliformes; Phasianidae. The record is from RefSeq and is a predicted model, not a curated record.
GCGCUGCCGACGAGAGAGUGGGCGGAACUGUUCGCCCGGUGAUGGGGGAAAGAAGAACGCGCUUAACGCCCCACGGGCGAAGGGGGGAAGCGCUGAGGAGCGGGAUGAGGUACGUAUAGUACCAGCUUGACACUGCAAUAUUCCUGAAAAUCCUGUGGGCCCAUAGGAUGGAAGCAUCAGAGCAUGGAACUGGUAUCUCAGGGGAACGUGAGACUCAUGACCUGGAACAAGAGGGCUUUAUCUGCUGUGGCAAAAGCAGCAAGAUCAGUGAGUAACUGAAGAAGGCAACCUGCUGGUUGUAACUCUGCACGGGAAACAACAUGUUGAGAGAAAUGUGCCUGAAUAUCUCAAAAGGGGCCAUGUAUUAUUCUGGGAUAUGUCAGGAUAUGAGAAUUUUGAUGGUGUAAGGUCAAAAUUCUCAGCCAGGUGUAGACUCUGUGACAGAGUCAUAUGCACAUUGAAGAGCAUUUCAUAAUGCAGCACUGGACUGCUUCGGAAGAUGGACAGAAUCACAUUGGAGAAAGCCUGGAAGAUCAGGACAUGACAGGCAUAAAUGAUCUCUGGAAAAUGGAACACUUGGAAGAGAUGGACCAUGUGGGUUCUGCUGGUGGCAUCAGUCUUGUAGAUAGUUAAGAUGAGAGCUUAUAGAUCCAAGCCUCCAUGCUAGUUAACUUCUGUGUGUUUUUGGAAAAAAAUCAAGAUAAUCAUUUGCAAGAGAAUUCUAAGUAAGCAUUAUGAGAUAGCAGCAAAGUAAUGAUGAGUUUUGCUACUUUAGAAGAAAUAGGAGUGUUGCAGAGCCUUCUCCAGGUCGCUUCACUGUUAGGGAGUUUGCUGAAACCAGCUUCCUAAGGCAUGAAUGCUUGAAAAAACCUACUAGUAGAAGAGCUUGUGAAAAUGGGAUUGCAUGUACUUAAGAGGAAGGAUGAACUAAAAUUCCAGAAAAAAAGAAAGCACUUAAUUAUGAAGAUAAUGUCAGAUUUUCCAGUUACAGAUGGUACAACGUAUUUAAUCUCCUGCAGAGACCCAAGUGGCAGCUCUUGCCUUGUACUCACAGCCAUGGCUGACACACGUGGGCAGUUGUACCCAGAGUUGGAGAUGAGCCACUCUGGGCUACCAAAUCACCCACAGUCUCAGGAAGAUGGAUGGAUGAUAACAUCUUUCAGUCUUCUGAGGGCUUUGUGACUUUGCCACAAUGGUUCAUCUCUGCUAUGGUCUAAAGAUGACACGGCUGGGAGGAAGAACAGCCAGAAGGGCUUUGGUUACCAUUUGUUGAGUCUGGGAAGAAGCUAGAUGCAAAAAAAAAAGAGAAGUUGUAGAAAGGGGCAUCAUCCAGACUAGUGAGAAGUGGUAGGACUAGAACUUAAAGGCUUUGAGAACUGUAGAACUUGAUGAUUAAAACAAAUGUACGGAAGUAAACAUCUUGAAAGGUGUGCAACAAGUUUUAUGACACAUCUCUCAGGCAAAAUAUUCCAAAUUGCCAUAGAUUUGUUUGCAAUAGUAUGUCUGGAUGUGUGGGAAGCUCUGACUGAGGACAUGUCCUAUGGCACAUUCUAGACCUGUUCUGUACAAUUAAUCAAUUUAAUCUCUGAGGCAACUGUUUCAUCACUAGAACAAAUAAACCAAGACUGUAUCGCAUUUUGGAUUCAUGAACUGCUCUGGUUGUAGGGUACCAAGUUAUCUGUGGUAAAGGAAUAUGAGUAAGAGUAAGUAUCCUGGGAAGUAAAGGUUGUGUCCUGCCAUGUCUCUAAUGGAUGUAUAUAUUUAACUAGCACAUUAUCUGGUACAUUUAAUAUGAGGUUUUAUUUAGAAAUUUUUCUGUUUCUCAGCAAAACUGUUGACUGCUCUCCAUAAUAAUAAAUAGACUGUUGAUAAAAUAUGCCACUGGUAUUUUGUAAAUAUAAUUAGUCUGGAAGUUCUGUUUCUUUUUGCAGUUCUACAGUUGUCUGUUGUGACCUUCUCCUCAUAGUAACAAGCAUGAAAAAUAUGCUUGGAAUACACAUGAAAGUCAUUUUCUAUUGCUCUACAAAAGCCAUUGACAGUUUGUUGCAUACAGUUGCAUCUGUUUUACUUUUUUGACCAGGCCCAGGCCAAGUGUGUAUUCUAAGCCUAAAGUAUAAUAAACUUUAGUAGUUCUGACAUAAAACUAGGCCUAGUUGGCUGAAGAACAGUUCAAUACAUGGGUUCUUCUACUAAUACUAGUGCACUGUUUCUGCCCAAGCAGUCAGACAGCUCUGAAUCUUUCCUGGAUGUGGCUGUAACUUUAAAUGCUUUUGGUAACAAGCACUAAUAAUAAUAAUAAUAAUAGUAAUAAUAAUAAUAAAAUAAUUCCAACACUUCAUGUAGCUCAUCUGAAAUACAAAAUGCUGUGAUGCAGGAACACGUUUGGAAACAUCAGAGUGGAAAUGACUGUGAGUCCCUGUUCUUUAAAAGUUGGACCAGUGACUUGCUUUGAAUCACGUUGCUAUCAAACAGCAGAGGUACGUCCCACCUACAAAUAAUAGUUCUUAUCUUGUGUAUUUUGAAAGUCUUAUUCUGUCAGAAAUCCAUCCUAAGACAAAAGAUAAUGUUAAAAGUAAUGCUACUUUCUAUCAUAUAUCCAUUGUCUAUCGUAUAUCCAGAUGCACAUUCAUUUUGGAGGAAGCAGAUCUGCAUUUUUUAGUUAGGAAAGGCUGCAUUUUUUAGUUAGGAAAGGCUUCCUAUUACCUCAGAACUUUUUUUAGAACAUGGGUUUUCAUUUAUAAAUAAGUAUUUUUGUUUUUAAAGAGUAGAGCUUCCCACCUCCUACUUCUGCCAUGUCCUUCUUUAUCCUUGUUAUUUUACCAAUGAUGUCCUGCUCUUGGAGACAAAUCACUUUGUUGGCUGCAUCUAAUCCUAAAAUCUAUGAGAAAUGUAACUCAGUCAUACAUCUAAUGCAAAGAAGACUUUAUCAAAUGUAACUUCUUUAAGAUAAAUGAAUUUUGGCUCCAUAUAUUUUCCUCAUCAUUUCUUGUAUACUUUGAGCUAGCCCCAUUGCAUUGCUUUGCUUUCUUUCAGACAAAUCAUCGUGAUGCAAACAGCAUUUUUAUAUAAAUGUGACAAGGUUCUGCUUGUUCCUGACAGUAUCCAGUGCACGUCUCAUGCCACCUUCUCAGUCAGCAGCACAGCCUGAGGCUUCUCAUGGGGGAAGCUGGAAAAACAAUAACAUGCUCAUCACAUUACACCUCUCAGGAGCAGUGCUGAAUCCUUGGGGUGGCACUGUGUGUACCUGCACUGAUGUUCUGCAAGGGCUGGGAGAAACUUGUGAGAGAAGCACGCUGGUCAAGGCCGCCAUGUAUGGAACUGUGAGGUAUGUGGAGCUU